UCCUACGGGGGGCAGCAGUGAGGAAUAUUGGUCAAUGGCCGGAAGGCUGAACCAGCCAAGCCGCGUGAAGGACGAAGGUGCCAAGCAUUGUAAACUUCUUUUGUCAAGGGACAAAAUCAGGCUCGAGAGCCUGACCGAGGGUACUUGAAGAAAAAGCAUCGGCUAACUCCGUGCCAGCAGCCGCGGUAAUACGGAGGAUGCGAGCGUUAUCCGGAUUUAUUGGGCGUAAAGGGCUCGUAGGCGGUUCGUCGCGUCCGGUGUGAAAGUCCAUCGCUUAACGAUGGAUCCGCGCCGGGUACGGGCGG
Molecule: ribosomal RNA, 305 nt
Filed under: uncultured bacterium
Lineage: Bacteria
Description: bacterial SSU rRNA
Rfam family: Bacterial small subunit ribosomal RNA
Source: RNAcentral